Hordeum vulgare subsp. vulgare (domesticated barley) is the source of this 1098-nucleotide RNA transcript. It is a transcript of the gene named protein usf-like, with no coding region annotated. The record is from RefSeq and is a predicted model, not a curated record. The transcript has 5 exons. Lineage: Eukaryota; Viridiplantae; Streptophyta; Magnoliopsida; Poales; Poaceae.
AAAGUUGGCGUCGCGAUGGCCACAGCGCGGCUACUGCUCCGGAGCGCCUCCCGACCCGACCACCCCGGCCCGUGUCCAGCCCCGAGCCGCCAUGGCCGCCGCCAACGACGCCGGCCAGUUCCAGAAAUUCCAGAUCCAGCGCGAGAACACGACCUUCGACGCCUAUGUUGUCGGCAAGCAGAAUGCCCCUGGAGUUGUAGUGUUGCAAGAGUGGUGGGGGGUCAACAAUGAUAUCAAGAAUCACGCCAUCCACGCCUCCCAAAUCGGCGGUGGAUACAGAGCACUUAUUCCAGAUUUGUACCGUGGGAAGGUCGCUUUGGAUGCUGCCGAGGCUCGGCAUCUGGUGGAAGGGCUAGACUGGCAGGGCGCGAUCAAGGACAUUCAGGCUUCAGUUAAAUGGCUCAAGCAAAAUGGAUCAUCUAAGGUUGGCGUUACUGGUUACUGCAUGGGGGGUGCUCUGGCAAUUGCGAGUGGAGUUUUGGUCCGAGAGGUCGAUUGUGUUGUUGCUUUCUACGGGACGCCAUCGUCAGAGCUUGCUGAUCCUUCCAAGGCUCUCGCUCCAAUCCAGGCUCAUUUUGCGGAGCUUGACACUUAUGUCGGGUUUGCUGAUGUGACCGCGGCCAAGUCGUUGGAGGAGAAGCUCAAGUCUUGUGGGGUGCCACAUGAAGUGCACAUAUACCCUGGAUGCUCUCAUGCCUUCAUGAACGCAUCACCUGAGGCUCUCGAGAAUCAGGGCGCCAUUGACCUGGCAUGGUCCCGCUUCGCUACUUGGAUGGGUCGUUUCCUGUGAUAUAUAUAUCUGAGCCGUAUUACCACACAGUCUGAAUCUGAUUGUGUACAUGGACUCGAGGCACGACUCACCAGAAUAAGAUGUUCAGUACGUACGUACGAUACAACAUGCAGUCAUCCUCCAGUUCAGAGAAGUUUGCUUGUGUUAUGCUAUGCGAACUCGAUCGUCAUCGUUACGAUUUUGUGGAUGCUGAGCUAACUCGGUGUGAAUUUGUCCUGUUUAUUCUUGUGAUUGUAGGCUACAUGUUUUUGGAUGGUUCUGAGAGUUUCUCGGCCUUCAGUUUUCCUUGGAAAGCAUUUUGGAUCGUG